UCCGUAGGUGAACCUGCGGAGGGAUCAUUACCGAGUUUACAACUCCCAAACCCAAUGUGAACGUUACCAAACUGUUGCCUCGGCGGGGUCACGCCCCGGGUGCGUCGCAGCCCCGGAACCAGGCGCCCGCCGGAGGAACCAACCAAACUCUUUCUGUAGUCCCCUCGCGGACGUUAUUUCUUACAGCUCUGAGCAAAAAUUCAAAAUGAAUCAAAACUUUCAACAACGGAUCUCUUGGUUCUGGCAUCGAUGAAGAACGCAGCGAAAUGCGAUAAGUAAUGUGAAUUGCAGAAUUCAGUGAAUCAUCGAAUCUUUGAACGCACAUUGCGCCCGCCAGUAUUCUGGCGGGCAUGCCUGUCCGAGCGUCAUUUCAACCCUCGAACCCCUCCGGGGGAUCGGCGUUGGGGAUCGGGACCCCUCACACGGGUGCCGGCCCCUAAAUACAGUGGCGGUCUCGCCGCAGCCUCUCCUGCGCAGUAGUUUGCACAACUCGCACCGGGAGCGCGGCGCGUCCACGUCCGUAAAACACCCAACUUUCUGAAAUGUUGACCUCGGAUCAGGUAGGAAUACCCGCUGAACUUAAGCAUAUCAAUAAGCGGAGGA
Molecule: ribosomal RNA, 603 nt
Filed under: Trichoderma asperellum
Lineage: Eukaryota; Fungi; Ascomycota; Sordariomycetes; Hypocreales; Hypocreaceae
Description: eukaryotic LSU rRNA
Rfam family: 5.8S ribosomal RNA (bases 215-368)
Source: RNAcentral